GAAUUUUGAUUAACGCUCGGUUUAUCCGAGCCAACUGGAAG
Molecule: regulatory RNA element, 41 nt
Organism: Pluralibacter gergoviae
Lineage: Bacteria; Pseudomonadati; Pseudomonadota; Gammaproteobacteria; Enterobacterales; Enterobacteriaceae
Rfam family: nuoG RNA
Source: Rfam